RNAcentral lists this transfer-messenger RNA (353 nucleotides) under Bacillota bacterium. It matches the Rfam family "transfer-messenger RNA". Rfam says of the family: Bacterial tmRNA, also known as 10Sa RNA or SsrA, is named for its dual tRNA and mRNA-like properties. Lineage: Bacteria; Bacillati; Bacillota. The record is from RNAcentral.
GGGGGUGUAAUGGGUUCGACGGGGGUAGAAGUAGCAAGAGAAGCGGGCCCAGGACCAUGGCCUGGUAAAACAUGGAACGGCUUAACUGCCAACGAUAAUUACGCAUUAGCUGCUUAAUUAAGUAGCUCGUCCACCUUUUCUUCUCCUGCGGGAAGAGCCAGUGGGCGUCAUAACAGCAGGAUACCUGUUCUGGAGGCUGCUCCUCCUUCAGCCCGGGGAAAUUAAUUGGAGAUAGCGGUCAUGGCAUCCCGCCCUGAAGAGGCCAUGUCGCGAAACUAAAUUCGGGGCUACGCUCGUAGAUGCUCUUGUGUCUUUGCUUUCGGACGCGGGUUCGAUUCCCGCCACCUCCACCA